GGUUUGAUGGUGUAGUUGGUUAUCACGUCAGUCUAACAUGUCCUCGGACGGUUCCACUGAAGGUCGGGAGAUCGAGCCUCCCUCGAAUCA
This 90-nucleotide transfer RNA is filed under the name Plectosphaerella cucumerina. RNAcentral describes it as "tRNA-Val". RNAcentral also lists the same sequence under 1 other name. Lineage: Eukaryota; Fungi; Ascomycota; Sordariomycetes; Glomerellales; Plectosphaerellaceae. The record is from RNAcentral.